AGAGGGUGCAAGCGUUAAUCGGAUUUACUGGGGCGUAAAGCGCGCGUAGGUGGCCAAUUAAGUCAAAUGUGAAAUACCCCCGAGCUUAACGUUGGGGAAUUGCAUUCGAUACUGGUUGGCUAGAGUAUGGGAGAGGAUGGUAGAAUUCCAGGUGUAGCGGUGAAAUGCGUAGAGAUCUGGAGGAAUACCGAUGGCGAAGGCAGCCAUCUGGCCUAAUACUGACACUGAGGUGCGAAAGCAUGGGGAGCAAACAGGAUUAGAUACCCUGGUAGUCCAUGCCGUAAACGAUGUCUACUAGCCGUUGGGGCCUUUGAGGCUUUAGUGGCGCAGCUAACGCGAUAAGUAGACCGCCUGGGGAGUACGGUCGCAAGACUA
This 375-nucleotide ribosomal RNA is filed under the name uncultured organism. Its description in RNAcentral is "partial 16S ribosomal RNA". It matches the Rfam family "Bacterial small subunit ribosomal RNA", at positions 527 to 896 of the family's 1533-position model. The record is from RNAcentral.